GAUGAACGCUGGCGGCGUGCCUAAUACAUGCAAGUCGAGCGAACAGACGAGGAGCUUGCUCCUCUGAUGUUAGCGGCGGACGGGUGAGUAACACGUGGAUAACCUACCUAUAAGACUGGGAUAACUUCGGGAAACCGGAGCUAAUACCGGAUAACAUGUUGAACCGCAUGGUUCAACAGUGAAAGACGGUCUUGCUGUCACUUAUAGAUGGAUCCGCGCCGCAUUAGCUAGUUGGUAAGGUAACGGCUUACCAAGGCAACGAUGCGUAGCCGACCUGAGAGGGUGAUCGGACACACUGGAACUGAGAAACGGUCCAGACUCCUACGGGAGGCAGCAGUAGGGAAUCUUCCGCAAUGGGCGAAAGCCUGACGGAGCAACGCCGCGUGAGUGAAGAAGGUCUUCGGAUCGUAAAACUCUGUUAUUAGGGAAGAACAAAUGUGUAAGUAACUAUGCACGUCUUGACGGUACCUAAUCAGAAAGCCACGGCUAACUACGUG
Molecule: ribosomal RNA, 497 nt
Filed under: uncultured bacterium
Lineage: Bacteria
Description: partial 16S ribosomal RNA
Rfam family: Bacterial small subunit ribosomal RNA
Source: RNAcentral